This 590-nucleotide ribosomal RNA is filed under the name uncultured bacterium. Its description in RNAcentral is "partial 16S ribosomal RNA". It matches the Rfam family "Bacterial small subunit ribosomal RNA", at positions 355 to 1375 of the family's 1533-position model. The record is from RNAcentral.
UGGGGAAUUUUGGACAAUGGGCGAAAGCCUGAUCCAGCAAUGCCGCGUGUGUGAAGAAGGCCUUCGGGUUGUAAAGCACUUUUGUCCGGAAAGAAAUCCUUGGCUCUAAUACAGUCGGGGGAUGACGGUACCGGAAGAAUAAGCACCGGCUAACUACGUGCCAGCAGCCGCGGUAAUACGUAGGGUGCAAGCGUUAAUCGGAAUUACUGGGCGUAAAGCGUGCGCAGGCGGUUUGCUAAGACCGAUGUGAAAUCCCCGGGCUCAACCUGGGAACUGCAUUGGUGACUGGCAGGCUAGAGUAUGGCAGAGGGGGGUAGAAUUCCACGUGUAGCAGUGAAAUGCGUAGAGAUGUGGAGGAAUACCGAUGGCGAAGGCAGCCCCCCUGGGCCAAUACUGACGCUCAUGCACGAAAAGCGUGGGGGAGCAAAACAGGAUUAGAUACCCUGGUAGUCCACGCCCUAAAACGAUGUCAACUAGUUGUUGGGGAUUCAUUUCCUUAGUAACGUAGCUAACGCGUGAAGUUGACCGCCUGGGGAGUACGGUCGCAAGAUUAAAACUCAAAUGAAUUGACGGGGUCAUAGCUGUUUCCU